AACGAACGCUGGCGGCGUGCUUAACACAUGCAAGUCGAACGCGAAAGUUUUCUUCGGAAAACGAGUAGAGUGGCGCACGGGUGAGUAACGCGUAAGUUAUCUACCCUCCCAUCUGGAAUAACUCACCGAAAGGUGUGCUAAUACCGGAUACGUUGGAAACAAGAAAGGUGGCCUCUAUUUAUAAGCUACCGUGGGGGGAUGAGCUUGCGUACCAUUAGCUAGUUGGUAGGGUAAUGGCCUACCAAGGCAACGAUGGUUAGCGGGUCUGAGAGGAUGAUCCGCCACACUGGAACUGGAACACGGACCAGACUCCUACGGGAGGCAGCAGUGAGGAAUAUUGCGCAAUGGGGGAAACCCUGACGCAGCGACGCCGCGUGGAUGAUGAAGGCCCUUGGGUCGUAAAAUCCUGUCAGUUGGGA
RNAcentral lists this ribosomal RNA (419 nucleotides) under uncultured bacterium. RNAcentral's name for it is "bacterial SSU rRNA". It matches the Rfam family "Bacterial small subunit ribosomal RNA", at positions 29 to 445 of the family's 1533-position model. The record is from RNAcentral.